GAGAGAGAGAAGAAGUAAAUAUAGAAACUCAUUACAUCCAUAAUCUAUCUAAGGCUUUUAUACUUCGCAUUAGAGAAGAUUUCUAGCAGGUGUGUUGCUCAUAUCAUGUUAACAGUAGAGCUUCUAGAUUACUUUGCAAUAUCAUAUAUAAUAAAAAUAAGAGAAUAUACAAACUCAUUACAUCAAUAAGCUAUCUGUGGCUUUUACAAUUUGCAUUAGAGAAUAAUUCUAGCAGGUGUAUUACUCAUAUCAUGUCAAUGGCACUGUUUCCAAAUUACUUGCAAUGCAUCCAAAAUUACCAAAGAGUUCCUUGUAGAGUUGUAGAAAAGAAAAAAUAAAAAAAGAGGAAAUAUUCACCAAUACAAGAAAGUUUAAAGGUAGCUAUUAUGCAUAAAUAUGUUUAUACAAUCAAUGGUAAAACCAUAGUUAAAAUAAAUUGCAUCAUUUUGUUAACUGGAUCAUCAAAAUUCCCCAUGU
RNAcentral lists this unclassified non-coding RNA (477 nucleotides) under Hevea brasiliensis (rubber tree). The record is from RNAcentral. Lineage: Eukaryota; Viridiplantae; Streptophyta; Magnoliopsida; Malpighiales; Euphorbiaceae.